UGUUCAUGCUCAGUUGGUUAGAGCAUGGUGCUAAUAAUGCCAAGGUCAUGGGUUUGAUCCCCAUAUGGACCA
Non-coding RNA from Lamprotornis superbus, 72 nucleotides. The record is from the annotation of a GenBank genome assembly. Lineage: Eukaryota; Metazoa; Chordata; Aves; Passeriformes; Sturnidae.